AGAGUUGCCAUGGCGGGGGUAAUACCAUGAUCGUGAAGGUGGUUUUCCCAGGGCGAGGCUUAUUCAUUGCACCCCUGAUUUCCCCAGACGCAGGAAACUCUACUGCAUAAUUUGUGGUAAUGGGGGACUGAGUUCGAGCUUUCCCCUG
This 148-nucleotide small nuclear RNA is filed under the name Mus caroli (Ryukyu mouse). RNAcentral's name for it is "predicted gene, 22739 (MGP_CAROLIEiJ_G0034739.1)". It matches the Rfam family "U1 spliceosomal RNA". Rfam says of the family: U1 is a small nuclear RNA (snRNA) component of the spliceosome (involved in pre-mRNA splicing). Its 5' end forms complementary base pairs with the 5' splice junction, thus defining the 5' donor site of an intron. The record is from RNAcentral. Lineage: Eukaryota; Metazoa; Chordata; Mammalia; Rodentia; Muridae.